RNAcentral lists this ribosomal RNA (500 nucleotides) under uncultured bacterium. Its description in RNAcentral is "partial 16S ribosomal RNA". It matches the Rfam family "Bacterial small subunit ribosomal RNA", at positions 30 to 523 of the family's 1533-position model. The record is from RNAcentral.
AUUGAACGCUGGCGGAAUGCUUUACACAUGCAAGUCGAACGGCAGCACGGACUUCGGUCUGGUGGCGAGUGGCGAACGGGUGAGUAAUGUAUCGGAACGUGCCCAGUCGUGGGGGAUAACGUAGUGAAAAUUACGCUAAUACCGCAUACGAUCUAUGGAUGAAAGCGGGGGAUCGCAAGACCUCGCGCGAUUGGAGCGGCCGAUAUCAGAUUAGGUAGUUGGUGGGGUAAAGGCCCACCAAGCCAACGAUCUGUAGCUGGUCAGAGAGGACGACCAGCCACACUGGAACUGAGACACGGUCCAGACUCCUACGGGAGGCAGCAGUGGGGAAUUCUGGACAAUGGGCGAAAGCCUGAUCCAGCCAUUCCGCGUGCAGGAUGAAGGCCCUCGGGUUGUAAACUGCUUUUGUACAGAACGAAAAGGUUUCUACUAAUACUAGGAGCUCAUGACGGUACUGUAAGAAUAAGCAUCGGCUAACUACGUGCCAGCCGCCGCCGUAA